RNAcentral lists this transfer RNA (72 nucleotides) under Macrohaltica subplicata. Its description in RNAcentral is "tRNA-Leu". The stretch from base 1 to 63 matches the Rfam family "tRNA". Rfam says of the family: Transfer RNA (tRNA) molecules are approximately 80 nucleotides in length. Their secondary structure includes four short double-helical elements and three loops (D, anti-codon, and T loops). RNAcentral also lists the same sequence under 3 other names. Lineage: Eukaryota; Metazoa; Arthropoda; Insecta; Coleoptera; Chrysomelidae. The record is from RNAcentral.
AUUAUUUUGGCAGAAUAGUGCGUUAGAUUUAGAAUUUAAAUAUAUAGGUUUCUAUAAAUAAUACUUGAUUUU